CUACUCUUGACAUCCAGAGAACUUUCCAGAGAUGCUUUGGUGCCUUCGGGAACUCUGAGACAGGUGCUGCAUGGCUGUCGUCAGCUCGUGUUGUGAAAUGUUGGGUUAAGUCCCGCAACGAGCGCAACCCUUAUCCUUUGUUGCCAGCGGUCCGGCCGGGAACUCAAAGGAGACUGCCAGUGAUAAACUGGAGGAAGGUGGGGAUGACGUCAAGUCAUCAUGGCCCUUACGAGUAGGGCUACACACGUGCUACAAUGGCGCAUACAAAGAGAAGCGAACUCGCGAGAGCAAGCGGACCUCAUAAAGUGCGUCGUAGUCCGGAUUGGAGUCUGCAACUCGACUCCAUGAAGUCGGAAUCGCUAGUAAUCGUAGAUCAGAAUGCUACGGUGAAUACGUUCCCGGGUCUUGUACACGGCGGGGGAGGAGGGGGGAUC
This 434-nucleotide ribosomal RNA is filed under the name bacterium OM5. RNAcentral describes it as "bacterial SSU rRNA". It matches the Rfam family "Bacterial small subunit ribosomal RNA", at positions 975 to 1387 of the family's 1533-position model. The record is from RNAcentral.